Molecule: long non-coding RNA, 528 nt
Organism: Columba livia (rock pigeon)
Lineage: Eukaryota; Metazoa; Chordata; Aves; Columbiformes; Columbidae
Exons: 3
Source: RefSeq, a predicted model, not a curated record
CAUGUGUUAAUGGGUAACUGGGGAAACAAACACCAUAAUUUUGAACACCCCCCCACUUUCUCCUUCUUCUGUCAUCUUUUAUGGCUGACUAUGACAUCACAUGGUAUGGAAUAUACCUUCAGUCACUUGCGGUCAGCUGCCCCAGCUGUGUUCCCUCCCAACUUCUUGUGAACCCCCCAGCUACUUGCUGGUAGGGCCGUGUGAGAAACAAGAGAAGGCAUUGACACUCUGCAAGUGCUCUUCAGUAAUAACUAAACCAUUGGUGUAUUAUCAACAUUGUUUCAGUUACAAAUCCAAAACAGAGCACCAUACAAGCUCCUAUGAAGAAAAUUAACUACAUCUCAGACAAACCAGUAUACAUGUUUAAUCUUGGCCAGAUUGUUAUGUACAGUAUGAGUAUGAAUAUUUGAGAAGACCCUUACUAUGUUCAGAAAGGAGAAAUAGAAAAGGAUUAUCUUCCCUUGGGCUUAACAUCACAAGUACAGGAUCCUUCCAGUGGUGUAAGUACACAGCCCUUCAUGUUUUAAA